Molecule: long non-coding RNA, 1316 nt
Organism: Cucurbita pepo subsp. pepo (vegetable marrow)
Lineage: Eukaryota; Viridiplantae; Streptophyta; Magnoliopsida; Cucurbitales; Cucurbitaceae
Source: RefSeq, a predicted model, not a curated record
UGGGAAUGUAAGAGCAUGGAGAUCGUUUAAGGACCAUCUAGCAGGAAAAGAAAGCUUCCUGAAGGAAUCGGUAAGGGAAUGGAAUCGGUAAGGGAAUGGAAUUGCUAACUAAUCGAUUAAAGGUUAUGCACCAGUGUCUCUCACUGUUGGAAGAAAGUCAUGUCGAUUCCUGAGAACUUCAUAAAGAACUUUUGAAUCACUUUUCUGGCCUUGAAGAUGAAAUAUAUCGGUUAAGCAGCCUGGGUGAGAUUGACUAAGCCAGUCUCAAUUCCAAAGACGGGAAAACCCAGCACUAUGCCCGUGGGUCGGUGAUUUAUGGUUCAGUCCCUGCCAUCGUUCUGUUGCAGAAGGAACCGAAUGCCAGUUUGCAUAGUGGAACCACACUUGUCAUUGGUCGUUACCUAAUGAACCAUAUUGGUUCGUGCUCGGUGGUGAGGCCGAGAAGUAGUCUGCCUCACAGCCUUUCUUUAGUGCCAAGGUACUAAAGUUAAUUAAAGACGAGUUGACUGUAGCGAAGUCUUAGAGAAAGUAGAAACAAAUAAUCUGAUUUGUCGAACGUGAUGCAUUGCUAGUGAACAGAAAUUGAGGCGUCAAUAUAGUAUAAUGCUUUCCAACCUGAAAAUGUCAGCGGAGCUCACGAAGAUUAUUUUUCGAAGGAGGUACUUUCAGUGGACCCUAUAAGUACAGGGGGGCUAGCUUGAAAACACUGUCAUUUAAGAUUUUCAUCAUUUUCCUAAAGAAAGUUCUGAACAAAAUCACGCGCCGCGUCGCUGCUAAGCAACUGUAUGGCAUAGAAUACGAAGUCCGUGUGAUCAAUGGCUUCACAAACAACUCCUCACUUCCUCUGGUGAUAUGGUGCGCGUCCAAAGACAGUGAUAUCGGCGGGCGUGCGCUCCAAGAGCAUGAUGAUUUCAGUUGGCCCGUCAGGACCAACUUCUGGAUUACUACAACCUCUCAAUUCUCAUGCACUGUCAAGCUUGACCGUACAAGGAAGAGUUUUGACGCAUUCAAGGUACCAAGAGAUAUAUAUCGCUGUAGUGCCCUCAGGAAAUGCUCUUGGUUGGUUUUGGAAGAUGGGUUUUAUUUCAGUGACGACGAAGUAAACUGGAAGAAGGAUUUCUCGUGGUGAAGCACCAGACCAGCUAAGUUCACUCUACUCUGUUCUACUUCUCUACUAGUUUUACUUUUACUGUCAUGAUCUUGGCCUUUCCAAAGCUAGAUUCUAUAAUGUAGUUCAGGAAAGGAAGGCUAUUUUGCGUCAUGAAUAUGAGUAUAGCGAAGGAAUUUGAAUUCCCCGGUUAUCUUAGGGCAGUAUU